This 497-nucleotide ribosomal RNA is filed under the name uncultured bacterium. RNAcentral describes it as "partial 16S ribosomal RNA". It matches the Rfam family "Bacterial small subunit ribosomal RNA", at positions 28 to 507 of the family's 1533-position model. The record is from RNAcentral.
GACGAACGCUGGCGGCGUGCCUAAUACAUGCAAGUUGAGCGAUGAAGCUUGGUGCUUGCACCAAUUUGCAGAGCAGCGAACGGGUGAGUAACGCGUGGGGAAUCUGCCUUUGAGCGGGGGACAACAUUUGGAAACGAAUGCUAAUACCGCAUAACAACUUUAAACAUAAGUUUUAAGUUUGAAAGAUGCAAUUGCCUCACUCAAAGAUGAUCCCGCGUUGUAUUAGCUAGUUGGUGAGGUAAAGGCUCACCAAGGCGAUGAUACAUAGCCGACCUGAGAGGGUGAUCGGCCACAUUGGGACUGAGACACGGCCCAAACGCCUACGGGAGGCAGCAGUAGGGAAUCUUCGGCAAUGGACGAAAGUCUGACCGAGCAACGCCGCGUGAGUGAAGAAGGUUUUCGGAUCGUAAAACUCGGUUGGUAGAGAAGAACGUUGGUGAGAGUGGAAAGCUCAUCAAGUGACGGUAACUACCCAGAAAGGGACGGCUAACUACGUG